UUCGAUUGACACAUUGAUGAUGUCUCAUAGAAUAUGGUGAGAUGUUCCCACGGGUCAUUAUUUGCAUUCCUGUCGAAUUGCUUAUCCCUCAAACCUAACAUCACAAAGUAUUUGAUGUUGAAAUUAACCGGUGUUGUAGGAAUGAAACCCAAUGAAUCAUGUGAUACGUCAGUAGGUCAACAAUAGUCCCCCAUGGUUUUUGCUAUUGGUUCGUCCAUGAUGAGUGUUUUUACCUGAGUUGCGUAUACACAAACAAGAAAUGCCUCAGUAGC
RNAcentral lists this long non-coding RNA (272 nucleotides) under Lathyrus oleraceus (garden pea). RNAcentral describes it as "Pisum sativum (pea) long non-coding RNA (PSAT_LNC010458)". Lineage: Eukaryota; Viridiplantae; Streptophyta; Magnoliopsida; Fabales; Fabaceae. The record is from RNAcentral.